Molecule: long non-coding RNA, 1264 nt
Organism: Teleopsis dalmanni
Lineage: Eukaryota; Metazoa; Arthropoda; Insecta; Diptera; Diopsidae
Exons: 8
Source: RefSeq, a predicted model, not a curated record
CUGUGAAAUUUUUCAAAAACUGUAAUAGAAGUUUCUUGACAUUACAAAGAUUGGACUCAAAUAUUAUUUUUGGAGCGCGUCAAUUGAACAACAAAAUUCGACUCAAUUUUGACUAUACGGAUUACGGAUUAUUUUUUGUUGGAAAUUUUUUUUUUGAAGUACAUUCAUCAUGGGCAAUGCAUUUUUUAACUUCCUAAAGGAGUUUCGAAACUACAAUAAGCAUCUUAAACCAGUGGAGAGUGCGAAACAAGCAGGCCAUAUAUGGCGCACAAUGUCAGAUGAGGAGAAAGAGCAGUACGUAGGUGUAGACUAUAAGGCUGUUCGUAACUCAAGUACCUCGGAAUGUGGUACAUGUGGGAAAAAGAAGAAAAAACCCUGUGGGCAGAAGAAAAAACGCAAAAGCUGCCCAAAGAAAAAGAAGCCUAAGUGUAAACCGAAGCGUAACCCCUGUAAAAAGAAGAAGAAGCGCCGCCAAAUUUGUUGCUAACUUAUUUUAAUGUUGACUGGAUAAAAAAUUGGGUGGCGUCACUAGUUUCAUAUUUCCGAUCCAUACUUCUAAGCCACCAAACAGUCUUCUUCAUCUGACUGCAAAAUCAUAAUUAAAUGUAAAAACAAUUUUAAAUAUUAUUCUGCUAAAGUUUGAAAAAAAAUCCAGAUGCCUUCUUAUAAUGCAACUGGAUAAUUACCACCUACACUGAUUCAUUGGUUCUAAUAUGUGAGCGAAAAAGGAUGGUUCCAAUCUCAAAAAUAAAGCAUCCGAAAAAUUUGUUUCAAAAUUCAGCAAAAUUCACAAAAUGUAUUAAAUUCCCCGAAAUAUAAAGAAAUUAUUUAUACUCAAAUUCAAACUAAUUAAAUUAUAUUUUUUAAUCUAUAACUUAUAUUUUCGGCAUAAGUAAAAACAGCAGAUUCCGCAUAUUCAGAAAUAUAAAUAUGUACUCAAGUAUAUCUUAACCUUACUCCAUCUCUUUAACCUAACCUAUGGAUAUUAAUGAAAUUCGUAAAAUGUGUCAACUUCCCCGAAAUAUAAAGGUUACAAAAUGAACACAAUAUAUAUAUGAUAUGCAUGAUUCAUAUUAUUCCAGAAAAUUGUACUCAAAUUCAAAUAUAAUUAAAUUAUAACUUUUAUUUUCGACAUAAAUAAAAACAACAGUUUCCACAAAUUCUGAGAUAUAAACAUGUACUUAAGUAAAUCUUGACCUUACUCCUAACCUAUGGAUAUUGACAAAUGUUUAAAUCAAGAAAAAGCUUCAUCAAAUAAAUUCAG